AGUGAACGCUGGCGGUAGGCCUAACACAUGCCAGUCGAACGGAAGCACAGUAAGAGCUUGCUCUUACGGGUGGCGCGUGGCGGACGGGUGAGGAAUACAUCGGAAUCUACUUUUUCGUGGGGGAUAACGUAGGGAAACUUACGCUAAUACAGCAUACGACCUACGGGUGAAAGCAGGGGAUCUUCGGACCUUGCGCGAUUGGAUGAGCCGAUGUCGGAUUAGCUGGUUGGCGGGGUAAAGGCCAACCAAGGCGAGGAUCCGUAGCUGGUCUGUGAGGAGGGUCGGCCACCUUAGAAGUGAGACACGGUCCUGACUCCUGCGGGAGGGAGCAGUGGGGAAUAGUGGACAAUGGGCGCAAGCCUGAUCCAGCCAUACCGCGUGGGUGAAGAAGGCCUUCGGGUUGUAAAGCCCGUUUGUGGGGAAAGAAAAGCAGUAGGUUAAUACCCCGCUGUUCUGACGGUACCCAAAGAAUAAGCACCGGCUAACUUCGUG
This 492-nucleotide ribosomal RNA is filed under the name uncultured bacterium. RNAcentral's name for it is "partial 16S ribosomal RNA". It matches the Rfam family "Bacterial small subunit ribosomal RNA", at positions 29 to 507 of the family's 1533-position model. The record is from RNAcentral.